Molecule: transfer RNA, 542 nt
Filed under: uncultured Prochlorococcus sp.
Lineage: Bacteria; Bacillati; Cyanobacteriota; Cyanophyceae; Synechococcales; Prochlorococcaceae
Description: partial 16S-23S ribosomal RNA intergenic spacer
Rfam family: tRNA (bases 212-284)
Source: RNAcentral
CAGGGAGACAACAAAAUGUUAAAUAUUAAUUUUGUCACCUUAGGUCGAUCGGUAUCUCACAUUCUUGAUUUUAUUAAGGAUUUCAUUUCCUAAGUUUUUUCUAGGUCACACCCAUCACUUUUCCUGGGCCAUUAGCUCAGGUGGUUAGAGCGCACCCCUGAUAAGGGUGAGGUCCCUGGUUCAAGUCCAGGAUGGCCCAUAUCUCUAUGUUGGGGGUAUAGCUCAGUUGGUAGAGCGCCUGCUUUGCAAGCAGGAUGUCAGCGGUUCGAGUCCGCUUACCUCCACUGAUCACCACCUCUUCCAUAAAUUUAUAGAAGGGAAUUGUUUUGAGUUGUGAUCAAAAUCUGAAAGAAUCUAGCUUCCUAAUGAAAUCAUUAAGAUGCUGGACUCAUUGAAUUAAUUUCAUUGUUUUCAGAGAACCUUGACAACUGCAUAGAUUAUUUUUAAAGACAAUAAGCAUCUUUAAUGAUGCAGAUUUAUUAUUUGUGCAAAUGCAUUAAUAACAAUUCUAUUAAGCUGAUGCUUCAAUAUUUGAAGUUAUU